RNAcentral lists this unclassified non-coding RNA (230 nucleotides) under plant metagenome. RNAcentral's name for it is "partial contains small subunit ribosomal RNA, internal transcribed spacer 1, and 5.8S ribosomal RNA". The record is from RNAcentral.
UCUCCGUAGGUGAACCUGCGGAGGGAUCAUUACAGAGUUCAUGCCCUCCGGGUAGAUCUCCCACCCAUUGCUAUCACUACUCUCGUUGCUUUGGCGGGCCGCUGGGCCCUGCCCAGCCGCCGGCCCCGGCUGGCGCGCGCCCGCCAGAGACCUCACAGACUCUGAAUGUUAGUGUCGUCCGAGUAACUAUAUAAUCGUUAAAACUUUCAACAACGGAUCUCUUGGUUCUG